Molecule: unclassified non-coding RNA, 283 nt
Filed under: Cercozoa sp.
Lineage: Eukaryota; Cercozoa
Description: partial contains small subunit ribosomal RNA, internal transcribed spacer 1, and 5.8S ribosomal RNA
Rfam family: Eukaryotic small subunit ribosomal RNA (bases 1-47)
Source: RNAcentral
AAAGUCGUAACAAGGUUUCCGUAGGUGAACCUGCGGAAGGAUCAUUAUCACGUAUCCACGUAUAAACCAUCGUGAACUGUACCCGUACCUUCGUUGGUGAAGCUACAGACGCAAAUGAAGAGUUUUCUCUUCAUGUCUGGUUAUGCUGCGCUACGGAGUGUACCACUAUUAACCAUUAUAACCCAAUCUUUAUAACUUUUGAACUAACUUAUUUUAUACUCUUCGGAGAUAAAAUUCAUUACGAAACAAAGAACAACUCUUAGCAACGGAUAUCUUGGUUCUC